This 1354-nucleotide long non-coding RNA is filed under the name Pan troglodytes (chimpanzee). RNAcentral's name for it is "long non-coding RNA NONPTRT011283". The record is from RNAcentral. Lineage: Eukaryota; Metazoa; Chordata; Mammalia; Primates; Hominidae.
GAAGAGCAGUUCUGCUGGCUUUGGGCCUUGAUGUGUUGUGGGAUUUUUAAGGAAUCAGAGAGACCAAUGGGGCUCAGGAGGAUAUUUAUUAAUUACUUAGGUGCACCGGCCCAGUCGGAUUAACAUCCAAAGGACUGAGCCCCAAAUGAAGAGUCAAGUUAACUUUUAAGCAUUUUGUGGGUUGGGGGAGAUUUGUGCAGGGGAAAUACUACAGAAGUGAGAAACAAAGACAGUUAUUCAAUUGAAGCAUGCAUUACAUGAUUUCUUACUUUUCUAGGAAAACGUGUUUUGCAACUUGAGUUUAUCUGUCUAGUGACCUUGCAGCUGCACAGCUAGGGAAACUGGGUCUUCACAAUGCCUGGGAAAGGAGGAGAGAUAAGUCUCAACAGCCACAGAAAAACAGGCAGUUAAUUUUAAAGGACUCCAGCUCCUUCUCUUUCUCAGAGGGAAUUGGGUUUUCUUACAUACAACUGAGUUUCUGCUUACACAUUCUUUAAUUUCUUUUAAUUCCUGUUCCAGAUGAAGAAAGAAGGGAUUUCUUUUCCCACACAGAAACACCCCAAGCAGGAACAGAAACAGAUCUUUUGUGCCCACCAAUAUGUGUCUGUCUUGCCCAGCCUGUCAUUGUCCAGGGCUGUGGGUAGUGGAGGAGCCACUGGUUCUUGACUAGUUCUGCAGAAGCCCUGGGUCAAAGGCCUCCGCUGACAGCAUCCAGAAGUGUGUGCUUCUCCAUCCUGGCCACACACUCAAAUCACUGGCGGAAAGGGCAUGGGAGAACACAGUGAGAAGACAGCAGUCUGAGAGCCCGGAAGAGCGCCCUCACCAGAAACCAAAUGUGUCAGCACCUUGCUCAGGGACUUCCAGCCUCCGGAACUGUGAGGAAACAAAAUGUCUGUUUUGGAGCCGCCCAGGCUGUGGGGUUUUGGUAAGGCAGCCUGAGCAGACUAAUGCAACAGCCUCAACAAAACUGCAAUCAAUGAGAAAAUAACAGUGGGCUUGAAGAAAAAAAUGAAUUCCAGUCAAAAUCUCAACAGUUUUAUUUGGGAGGUGAGAUGAGAGAGGAAACAGGUGGGAAAAGAGAGGUAAAAGGCUCGGUUAGUCUUGGGGCUGGAGAAGGUCAAGGUAGUGGACAGAGGCCCCCAGCUGCCGCCGCGGGUUCCGCGACGCUGACCGUGUAUGUGACCCAAGAGACUUCUUCACCAAGGCCAGCACGGCCGGGGACCCGGAUUUCACCUGGGAGAGACAUUAGAGCUGGGGGUGCACAUUCUGCAGAGUAGAGGGACCACUGAGUGGCCCAUCUCUGGAAGCACCCCCGCUUCAGCCUUACAUGCUGGGCUUUCCUCCUGGGGCCUAA